RNAcentral lists this ribosomal RNA (750 nucleotides) under Psychrobacter sp. BTN19. Its description in RNAcentral is "bacterial SSU rRNA". It matches the Rfam family "Bacterial small subunit ribosomal RNA", at positions 60 to 803 of the family's 1533-position model. Lineage: Bacteria; Pseudomonadati; Pseudomonadota; Gammaproteobacteria; Moraxellales; Moraxellaceae. The record is from RNAcentral.
AGUCGAGCGGUAACAUUUCUAGCUUGCUAGAAGAUGACGAGCGGCGGACGGGUGAGUAAUACUUAGGAAUCUACCUAGUAGUGGGGGAUAGCUCGGGGAAACUCGAAUUAAUACCGCAUACGACCUACGGGAGAAAGGGGGCAGUUUACUGCUCUCGCUAUUAGAUGAGCCUAAGUCGGAUUAGCUAGAUGGUGGGGUAAAGGCCUACCAUGGCGACGAUCUGUAGCUGGUCUGAGAGGAUGAUCAGCCACACCGGAACUGAGACACGGUCCGGACUCCUACGGGAGGCAGCAGUGGGGAAUAUUGGACAAUGGGGGCAACCCUGAUCCAGCCAUGCCGCGUGUGUGAAGAAGGCCUUUUGGUUGUAAAGCACUUUAAGCAGUGAAGAAGACUCCGUGAUUAAUACCCACGGACGAUGACAUUAGCUGCAGAAUAAGCACCGGCUAACUCUGUGCCAGCAGCCGCGGUAAUACAGAGGGUGCAAGCGUUAAUCGGAAUUACUGGGCGUAAAGCGAGCGUAGGUGGCUUGAUAAGUCAGAUGUGAAAUCCCCGGGCUUAACCUGGGAACUGCAUCUGAUACUGUUAGGCUAGAGUAGGUGAGAGGAAGGUAGAAUUCCAGGUGUAGCGGUGAAAUGCGUAGAGAUCUGGAGGAAUACCGAUGGCGAAGGCAGCCUUCUGGCAUCAUACUGACACUGAGGCUCGAAAGCGUGGGUAGCAAACAGGAUUAAAUACCCUGGUAGUCCACGCCGU